Long non-coding RNA from Rosa rugosa (rugosa rose), 4475 nucleotides. RefSeq lists it as uncharacterized. The transcript has 4 exons. The record is from RefSeq and is a predicted model, not a curated record. Lineage: Eukaryota; Viridiplantae; Streptophyta; Magnoliopsida; Rosales; Rosaceae.
AGCUGGUGCUCUAGUGGUUGAAGAGCAAAGCUCUUGUACAAGAGGUCAGAGGUUCGAACCUUGCCUCUCCCGUUAUUUUAUUUAUGUCGCUUAUGACAUAAUAAAUAUAACACGUGAGCAUAUAUUAAUGAAGGCAGCUCUUGCUUCAGUGGUUGGGAGCAAAACCUUCGUGUUCGAGGUCGGGAGUUCGAACCUUACCUCUUACAAAUAUUUUUGGAUCUCGUAUAUGCUUGAUAUACGGACGUAUAUACGGUAUGUACGGCAUACAUACGUAUAUACGGUCUGUACGGUAUGCAUACGUAUAUACGGUCUGUACGGUAUACAUACUUAUAUACGGUAUGUACAAUUUCAUACCGUAGCCGAGCUGGAAGUUGGUAGGCCCAAAUAGUAAGCCCAAAUAGUAAGCCCAAUUGUUCGGCCCGAUUGGUAAGCCCAAAUGUUAAGCCCAAUUGUUCGGCCCGAAUGGUAGGCCCAAAUGUUAAACCCAAAUUGGUUCGGGCCGGUUCGAAAUGUGGAUGGUUCGGUUUCUUCGGCCCAAUUGGCCAGCCCUAAUGCUUAGCCCAAGGAUUGAGCAAGCCCAAGUCAUCAUCACUGGGUAACAUAUUUUAUUGGCGUGCUUUUGGGGACGAAUUGUUUUGAGUGAUGCAUCUCUAUUGUUGUGUAGAAUGGUGCAUGCUUGAGUUUUACUAUAGAGACUUACCGUGAUGCUAAUUGAGUAGCGAAACACUUUGUGGGAGUGUUUACUGUGCUUGUAUGCCAGUACAAAGUGUUGAUCUAUGUGAGGAUCUAUGAGAUGAUCCAUGUGACGAUUUUGUGUAUGUGAUGUGGAGUGUUGUUGAGCAGUUGUUGUGUGAGUUUACGUUUGUGAUGAAAGGAUUUAGUGGCCAUAGGAAUGUAUUUUUAUACAAAGAGCUGAGGCUCUGUAGAUUACUACAGAUUUGGAAAAGAUGGAGAUUCUAUGGUUAGGUCAACCUUAAUCGAGAGGAAUUGACUUGCGCUUAAAUUUCGGGACGAAAUUUCUUUAAGGAGGGUAGAUUGUAAUACCCGAAAAAUUCAAAUUAACGUCCGAUGUCAUUUUGGAAAUGAUUUCGUAGGCGUGGGCACGAAUACGAAGCUUGAAGGAGUUGUGGAAUUAGUUCGAACGAUUUUAUUUCGAAAACGAACGUUAUUUAGGGGGUCUUAAAAAGUGACUUCUUAUACGUACAGAAUUUGGGAAAACUUUCUUCAUGAAAGUUGUAGAGCUCGUCGAUACGAUCUCGUGCGUAUGUUGAACGCAAUAUUCGGAGUUUGUAUGAAUAAGUUAUGAAUAUUUGAAAAUCGGGAUUUUUUUUCUAUAAAUAUGGAGAAUUUCUGGAAUUUUUCUUAAAUCCCAAAAUUUCCUAUUCUUUCUAUUUUCUCCCCCGGUUUUCUCUCUUCUCUCUCCUCUCCCCCGACCUUUUUCUCUUCUUUCUGGGCGUUCUUCCUCUGCCAGCAGCGCCACCGUCCGGCCACCUCAAGCCGCUCUCGAGGUGUCCACGGCUUCGCCUCGACGUCGUCUAGCUACUGGACGUGACCACUUUCCCCGGAACGGCCUCAAAUCCGGCAAACCGGAGCUGCAAGGUUUGAGCCAAAAACAGUCAACGCCGGUUUUCUCCUAAUUCCGGCCACCAAAACUCACGAUCCUUAGCUCCCUGAACUCACCUCAACAUGCUGAUCAUCAUCCUAGAAGGAUCGCACCUGGAGUGACCGGAUUCACGUUCGUCGGAGCUCGGCCGGCUUUAAUUCGAAAACCACCUUCGAAUCCGAUUUUCUCGAGUUAUAGACCACCUUUUCUUGUGAUUCUUGGCCUGGUGAGUUCACCUUGAGAUUAUUAACAACUCUCAAGAAGGGAUCGAGGCCUGAGGUUGAAGUUUUUACGUCGGAAUUCAAGCUCGCCGGAUUCUGGAAAAUUUCCGACCACGAAGACUUUCGAUCACGAUAUCGCGAGCUGUAGUGCAUCGUUUUGAUUGAUUCUUUUUCCAGUGGGUUCCCCUUGAUGUUGUUAACAACUCUCUAGAAGGCAUCGAGGCCUGAAAUUGAAUCUUUGACGUCGAAAUCGAGCCUUGCCGGAUUCUGCAAAAUUCUGGAAUUUUUCCGACCACCGAAGCUUUCGAUCGGUAUAUCUCGAGCUACAGACCAUAUUUUUCUGUGAUUCUUGAACCAGUGAGUUCUUCUUGAGUUUCUUAACAACUCUUCAGAAGGAAUCGAAGCCUUAAAUUGACGUUUUUACGUCGAAUUGGAGCUCGCCGUUUUCUGCAGUUUCUCGCCGGUUUCUGGAAAAUUCCGGCCACCUUCAUACUGUUCAAGGUGAUUGACGGUUUGAGUUGGCGGACGAUUGUGAAUCGUAUUUUGAGCUGUUAAGAAGACGCAGCGGGAUUAGAGGUGAUUGACGGUUUGAGUUGGUGGACGAUUGUGGAUCGUAUUUUGAGCUGAAUUGAAGACGCAGCGGGAUUAUCGAGCGGGUAAUCCUACAGGACAGGAGAACCAGGACGGUGAUCGCGCGGUUAGAGCAAUUGUUAGAGUUUUACAACAAUUGUAAGUUGUGAGGUGUGUUAUGCUCAUUUGAGCUUUAUAAUAUAUUGUGAGAGUGAAUUGUAAUAAUGAACUCGAAGUUUCGAGAUUUGGAUUUUGUAAUUGUAAUUAUUCAGGUUUCGGAUUUGAAUUUAUCAUUCAAAAUCCGGGGCGUGACAGUUUGGUAUCAGAGCGUAAGGUGCAUAUUUGGUGAUGUGUCAAUACCUUCCGAGUGAUGGCCCGUCUGCAGCGGAUCCCCAUCGUGUGCUCUUCGGUAUUGGCUAAGUCAUUGGGUAUGCGUGAGUGUUGGGAGUUGUUUAGGCCGCUAGGUCGUUUAGGGAACGUGAAUACAUUCCCUAUAGUAUUGACUUGGUUAAUAUGAAUUUGUAUUUGACUUAUACUGUGUUUUAAGUGUUAUACAAGUAUUAGCCAAGCAUACUAUACUCCUUAGGUGAUGGAUAUUCGAAAGGGUUGUACUUAGAACCUUACAGUUGUCUUGUAGGUUCGUAUGGGAAUAAGUUCAGUGGCCGCGAGUUACAAUCCUUGAGGAAUAGGAACCUCUUGAUUCAACUCUGUUAAGUCAACGAGGAUUGUUUUAUGGAAAUGAGGUUCUUUUGAUUGUUGAAGUGUUUGGUUGAAGGCAUGGUCUGGACCUAUGCUCGUCUGUAAUGUGGAUACGAGUAUUAAUCGAUGGUAAUUUUGCCUUUUUAAGUUGGAUAUACUAAUGUUCUUGAAUAGAUUCUUGACUCAUGUGGAGUUGUGAGUAGUGUUGCGGUUAGGGAAGGAAUUAUUGCGGUUACUUCUUCCUUGUGCUUGUAAGUUGUUAAGCAGGGUUUAAGGUGCGAGACAAGAAUUUUAUUUUGUGCUCGAUGGUUAGAGAUGAGAGACCAUUGUUUUGGGUUGUCGUUGAGUACUAUAAUUCCUUCAGAAUCAAGAUUGUUGGUAGAAUUGGAAUUAGUAGUAGUUUUGGUGAUUCUGAAUUUGAAUUGAGUUCGCGAGAUGUGUCUUAUAUACGUGGUUGAUGUUACUUGCAUCAUUUUGGAACGAUACGUUACGAUUCAUAAGGAAAACUGGAUUUGAAAUUUAUUCAUUUGAACACCAUGGGUUGAUGACCUGACCGUGACUUGUGAAUAUAGUUUUGUUCAAGUGAAUGAAAUUGAAUUUUGUGGCCUUUGUGUGGUGAACUAGUUUUCUUAAGUUUUGGAUCGUAGUAUGGAGAUGGGCUGCAGUGAAUUUGAAGUUGUUGUGUGUUUUAAGUUUAAGUAGGCGGGACACUUAAAGUUUUGCAAUGGAGUUGAUUUUGGUGUAAUUAAUUGGGAGAGUUAGAAUCAGUUCUUGUGAAUGAUGUUGGAUGAGAGUGUGUGCCUUUGGUGAUUGAUUUUAGGUGUUAUAGUUAAACGCAAUUUCGGAUAUUGAUUUUAGUGAUUUUGUUAGGUAUCCAUAGUGGUUCAAGUGAAUUACUAUGUGAUAUGGAGUUUGAUUUGAUUUCUGAAUCGCUAAAUGUUAGGGAUUGAAUUGUGGUGAGUUUUUGUUGAAGCAAUUGAUAGAUGGAAUUAUCGAGAUUCUAUAAGAGUUGUAAGAGUAACUCUAAAAACGUGGGUUUUUCCUAGCUAACUCAGGAUGUGUUUAGCUUUAUAAAUCCCUAAUCCUAUCGAUGAAAUUGUUGUGUUUGGUUUGACUCAGAGGAUACUAGCUAGACCUCGAUGCGACUUAAUUGAUUGUUGGAUUCUUUUUGAGUGAUUGUUUUUAUUGCAUCAUUAUGUAAGAUGUGUGCAGUAGAGUUGUUUAUGGUUUUGAAAAUAGUAUUGGGUGACCAAGGUUCGAUCCUUGGUGUUGUUGUUGGUUAAACAAAAAGAAGAAACAACAUGCACACUAUCUUAUUGAUUUAUUAUUACAAAAAGGAAAUUGGAACUACGCUAUACUAAGCCUAAUCAGUAGCUCCGGAU